This 253-nucleotide ribosomal RNA is filed under the name uncultured bacterium. Its description in RNAcentral is "partial 16S ribosomal RNA". It matches the Rfam family "Bacterial small subunit ribosomal RNA", at positions 524 to 776 of the family's 1533-position model. The record is from RNAcentral.
UACGUAGGUGGCAAGCGUUGUCCGGAUUUAUUGGGUUUAAAGGGUGCGUAGGCGGCUUAUUAAGUCAGUGGUGAAAUACUCUAGCUCAACUAGGGGGGUGCCAUUGAUACUGAUGAGCUUGAGUACAGAUGAGGUAGGCGGAAUUGACGGUGUAGCGGUGAAAUGCUUAGAUAUCGUCAAGAACACCUAUAGCGAAGGCAGCUUACUAGGCUGUAACUGACGCUGAGGCACGAAAGUGUGGGGAUCAAACAGG